Molecule: ribosomal RNA, 325 nt
Filed under: uncultured bacterium
Lineage: Bacteria
Description: bacterial SSU rRNA
Rfam family: Bacterial small subunit ribosomal RNA
Source: RNAcentral
GAUGAACGCUGGCGGCGUGCUUAACACAUGCAAGUCGAACGGAGUGCUCAUGACGGAGGAUUCGUCCAACGGAUUGAGUUACUUAGUGGCGGACGGGUGAGUAACGCGUGAGGAACCUGCCUCGGAGUGGGGAAUAACAGACCGAAAGGCCUGCUAAUACCGCAUGAUACAGUUGGGUCGCAUGACUCUGACUGUCAAAGAUUUAUCGCUCUGAGAUGGCCUCGCGUCUGAUUAGCUGGUUGGCGGGGUAACGGCCCACCAAGGCGACGAUCAGUAGCCGGUCUGAGAGGAUGAACGGCCACAUUGGGACUGAGACACGGCCCAG